Molecule: ribosomal RNA, 253 nt
Filed under: uncultured bacterium
Lineage: Bacteria
Description: partial 16S ribosomal RNA
Rfam family: Bacterial small subunit ribosomal RNA
Source: RNAcentral
UACGGAGGGGGCUAGCGUUGCUCGGAAUUACUGGGCGUAAAGGGCGCGUAGGCGGAUCGUUUAGUCAGAGGUGAAAUCCCAGGGCUCAACCCUGGAAUUGCCUUUGAUACUGGCGAUCUUGAGUGUGAGAGAGGUAUGUGGAACUCCGAGUGUAGAGGUGAAAUUCGUAGAUAUUCGGAAGAACACCAGUGGCGAAGGCGACAUACUGGCUCAUUACUGACGCUGAGGCGCGAAAGCGUGGGGAGCAAACAGG